Olea europaea var. sylvestris is the source of this 732-nucleotide long non-coding RNA. RefSeq lists it as uncharacterized. The transcript is spliced from 2 exons. The record is from RefSeq and is a predicted model, not a curated record. Lineage: Eukaryota; Viridiplantae; Streptophyta; Magnoliopsida; Lamiales; Oleaceae.
GGACCACCGGCUGCCUCAAGACUUGCGACAGAUCGAAUUGGGGGACGAGUCAGAGGACCAUCUCCACCCUUGUAACAGUGGAUAGAGUUCUGUUUACAGCCCGAAAGAGCAUUGCCUUUGAAGAAAGAGGCAAUCGUAGGUGCGUCACCAAUUAUCCGUGCCAAAUACACAGACCCAUUGUGAACACGAGUUCAGCCGGCCCCCAUCCUCUCCUCUCUCAUUCUCAUCUGUCUCAUACCUAUCUUCCAAAUUUUGAAACCCGCGUAACCGUACGUAUAACACAGUGAGUUGUAGAGAGAGAUGACACGGGGAAAGCAGAAGAUCGAGGCGCAGAGAAAAAAUGCAGAGAAGAAUCAGAAGGCCAAAGGGUCUCAACUCGAGGCCCGUGCUGUUGGCCUCAAAGUCAUUUGCCCCGUCUGUAAAAUGCAGCUAGCAAUUCAUAAUCAGCUCAUUGAUCACUACACCUCCAAGCAUCCGAAAGAAAGACCUCCAAGCAAUUCAGAGUAAUCCCUUUGUUUCUUGGGGGAGUGGUCAGUACUUUGAAAAAUGUAAUUCGGACUACUUUUGAAUCAAAUUGAAGAGUUUCUCUACCAUGUUUAUAAUAAUGUAUCUUUCAUUUUUCUGCUCUAGAAGCAUACCUAAAUCAAACUGCAGAAAAUAAGAGAAACCAUGUUAACUCGCCGGGCAUCCUAUAAUUGAAAAAUCGUGCUAUAUGGUUUUGAAUGUGUUAAA